RNAcentral lists this ribosomal RNA (497 nucleotides) under uncultured bacterium. RNAcentral describes it as "partial 16S ribosomal RNA". It matches the Rfam family "Bacterial small subunit ribosomal RNA", at positions 28 to 507 of the family's 1533-position model. The record is from RNAcentral.
GAUGAACGCUGGCGGCGUGCCUAAUACAUGCAAGUCGAGCGAACAGACGAGGAGCUUUCUCCUCUGACGUUAGCGGCGGACGGGUGAGUAACACGUGGAUAACCUACCUAUAAGACUGGGAUAACUUCGGGAAACCGGAGCUACUACCGGAUAAUAUAUUGAACCGCAUGGUUCAAUAGUGAAAGACGGUUUUGCUGUCACUUAUAGAUGGAUCCGCGCCGCAUUAGCUAGUUGGUAAGGUAACGGCUUACCAAGGCAACGAUGCGUAGCCGACCUGAGAGGGUGAUCAGCCACACUGGAACUGAGACACGGUCCAGACUCCUACGGGAGGCAGCAGUAGGGAAUCUUCCGCAAUGGGCGAAAGCCUGACGGAGCAACGCCGCGUGAGUGAUGAAGGUCUUCGGAUCGUAAAGCUCUGUUAUUAUGGAAGAACAAAUGUAUAAGUAACUAUGCACGUCUUGACGGUACCUAAUCAGAAAGCCACGGCUAACUACGUG